RNAcentral lists this ribosomal RNA (468 nucleotides) under uncultured bacterium. Its description in RNAcentral is "partial 16S ribosomal RNA". It matches the Rfam family "Bacterial small subunit ribosomal RNA", at positions 28 to 507 of the family's 1533-position model. The record is from RNAcentral.
GACGAACGCUGGCGGCGUGCUUAACACAUGCAAGUCGAACGGAAAGGCCCUGCUUUUGUGGGGUGCUCGAGUGGCGAACGGGUGAGUAACACGUGAGUAACCUGCCCUUGACUUUGGGAUAACUUCAGGAAACUGGGGCUAAUACCGGAUAGGAGCUCCUGCUGCAUGGUGGGGGUUGGAAAGUUUCGGCGGUUGGGGAUGGACGCGCGGCUUAUCAGCUUGUUGGUGGGGUAGUGGCUUACCAAGGCUUGGACGGGUAGCCGGCCUGAGAGGGUGACCGGCCACAUUGGGACUGAGAGACGGCCCAGACUCCUACGGGAGACAGCAGUGGGGAGUAUUGCACAAUGGGCGGAAGCCUGAUGCAGCAACGCCGCGUGCGGGAUGACGUCCUUCGGGUUGUGAACCGCUUUCGCCUGUGACGAAGCGUGAGUGACGGUAAUGAGUAAAGAAGCACCGGCUAACUACGUG